Molecule: ribosomal RNA, 445 nt
Filed under: uncultured bacterium
Lineage: Bacteria
Description: partial 16S ribosomal RNA
Rfam family: Bacterial small subunit ribosomal RNA
Source: RNAcentral
GUGAGGAAUAUUGGACAAUGGGCGCAAGCCUGAUCCAGCCAUGCCGCGUGCAGGAAGACGCAUCUAUGGUGUGUAAACUGCUUUUGUACGGGAAGAAACACUCCCUCGUGAGGGAGCUUGACGGUACCGUAAGAAUAAGGAUCGGCUAACUCCGUGCCAGCAGCCGCGGUAAUACGGAGGAUCCAAGCGUUAUCCGGAAUCAUUGGGUUUAAAGGGUCCGUAGGCGGUUUAAUAAGUCAGUGGUGAAAGCCCAUCGCUCAACGAUGGAACGGCCAUUGAUACUGUUAGACUUGAAUUACAAGGAAGUAACUAGAAUAUGUAGUGUAGCGGUGAAAUGCUUAGAUAUUACAUGGAAUACCAAUUGUGAAGGCAGGUUACUACUUGUGGAUUGACGCUGAUGGACGAAAGCGUGGGGAGCGAACAGGAUUAGAUACCCCGGUAGUCC